UGGUACCUUCGGGAACUGUGAGACAGGUGCUCCAUGGCUGUCGUCAGCUCGUGUUGUGAAAUGUUGGGUUAAGUCCCGCAACGAGCGCAACCCUUAUCCUUUGUUGCCAGCGGUCCGGCCGGGAACUCAAAGGAGACUGCCAGUGAUAAACUGGAGGAAGGUGGGGAUGACGUCAAGUCAUCAUGGCCCUUACGACCAGGGCUACACACGUGCUACAAUGGCGCAUACAAAGAGAAGCGACCUCGCGAGAGCAAGCGGACCUCAUAAAGUGCGUCGUAGUCCGGAUUGGAGUCUGCAACUCGACUCCAUGAAGUCGGAAUCGCUAGUAAUCGUGGAUCAGAAUGCCACGGUGAAUACGUUCCCGGGUCUUGUACAC
RNAcentral lists this ribosomal RNA (376 nucleotides) under uncultured bacterium. Its description in RNAcentral is "bacterial SSU rRNA". It matches the Rfam family "Bacterial small subunit ribosomal RNA", at positions 1012 to 1388 of the family's 1533-position model. The record is from RNAcentral.